ACGAACGCUGGCGGCGUGCCUAAUACCUGCAAGUAGCACGCUGAAGGCGGAGCUUGCUUCUCUGGAUGGGUUGCGAACGGGUGAGUAACGCGUAGGUAACCUGCCUGGUAGCGGGGGAUAACUAUUGGAAACGAUAGCUAAUACCGCAUAAUAGCAGUUGUUGCAUGACAACUGUUUGAAAGGUGCAAUUGCACCACUACCAGAUGGACCUGCGUUGUAUUAGCUAGUUGGUGGGGUAACGGCUCACCAAGGCGACGAUACAUAGCCGACCUGAGAGGGUGAUCGGCCACAAUGGGACUGAGACACGGCCCAGACCCCUACGGGAGGCAGCAGGAGGGAAUCUUCGGAAAUGGACGGAAGUCUGACCGAGCAACGCCGCGGGAGGGAAGAAGGUUGUCGGAUCGUAAAGCUCUGUUGUAAGAGAAGAACGAGUGUGAGAGUGGAAAGUUCACACUGUGACGGUAUCUUACGAGAAAGGGACGGCUAACUACGUG
Molecule: ribosomal RNA, 494 nt
Filed under: uncultured bacterium
Lineage: Bacteria
Description: partial 16S ribosomal RNA
Rfam family: Bacterial small subunit ribosomal RNA
Source: RNAcentral